This 207-nucleotide ribosomal RNA is filed under the name uncultured bacterium. Its description in RNAcentral is "partial 16S ribosomal RNA". It matches the Rfam family "Bacterial small subunit ribosomal RNA", at positions 568 to 774 of the family's 1533-position model. The record is from RNAcentral.
CGCGUAGGCGGCCAUUCAAGUCAGGCGUGAAAGCCCCGGGCUCAACCUGGGAAUUGCGCUUGGGACUGGGUGGCUGGAGUUCGGGAGAGGAGCGUGGAAUUCCCAGUGUAGAGGUGAAAUUCGUAGAUAUUGGGAAGAACACCGGUGGCGAAGGCGGCGCUCUGGACCGAUACUGACGCUGAGGCGCGAAAGCGUGGGGAGCAAACA